AACGUAGGGGGCGAGCGUUGUCCGGAAUUAUUGGGCGUAAAGGGCGCGUAGGCGGGUACUUAAGUCUGAUGUGAAAUCCCGGGGCUCAACCCCGGGGUGGCAUUGGAAACUGGGUAUCUUGAGUGCAGGAGAGGGGAGCGGAAUUCCACGUGUAGCGGUGAAAUGCGUAGAGAUGUGGAGGAACACCAGUGGCGAAGGCGGCUCUCUGGCCUGUAACUGACGCUGAGGCGCGAAAGCGUGGGGAGCAAACAGG
Molecule: ribosomal RNA, 253 nt
Filed under: uncultured bacterium
Lineage: Bacteria
Description: partial 16S ribosomal RNA
Rfam family: Bacterial small subunit ribosomal RNA
Source: RNAcentral